AUGAAAAUCCUCAGUUGGAACUGUCGAGGGCUGGGACAACCUCGUACGGUUCAGGAGCUUGUGUGUCUGACUAAGACGCACCGUCCCAAUGUUAUCUUUCUUUCGGAAACUAGAAAAAUAAAGUAUGUUGAGCUUUUGCGGUACCGGUUGGGUAUGAAUAAUGUGUUUACUGUUUCUGGCCAUGGUAAAGGUGGAGGUCUAGUCGUGUUUUGGGAUGGAGCAUAUUCUUGUGAGCUAAACAAAUAUGGUGAACAUUUUAUGGACAUGUACGUCAACAAGGGUGAUGGUACAAAGUGCAGGUGCACAUUUAUUUAUGGAGAGCCUAAGGCGAGCCAGAGGUAUGUUAUGUGGGAUCUUUUGAGGCGGAUUAAACCUCUUGGUGUUGGACCUUGGUUUAUGGUGGGGGAUUUUAACGAAGCUAUGUGGCAAAAUGAACAUUUCUCUCGACAUAAGAGAUCUCCUAGACUCAUGGCUAACUUUCGUGAAGUUCUGUCGGAGUGCAAUUUAUUUGAUUUGGGCUUUCAAGGUGCUCCGUGGACAUGUAAUAACUAGAAGGAGGGCAACAAGAAUGUUAAGGUACGUCUUGAGUGUGCAGUGGCAUGCCCUCUUUGGUCUUCUAUUUUCCCUCAAUGUAAGGUCUCCCAUAUUAUUAGCUCCAAAUUUGAUCAUUGCCCCAUUUUAAUUGAGUUGAUGGGUAAUGCUCGGGAGGGGAGGUUUGCUAGAGAGUUGAAAUAUGAAUCUUACUGGGAGAGGGAAGGUCGUGUUUUGGAUGAACAGAUUAAUGAUUGUUGGAAUAGAGGAUCAAAUAUAAAGGGUCCGAAAGAUGUUGCUAAUAAUUUAGAAAAAUUAAUGAAAUCUCUUCAUGGAUGGAGUCGGGUGCAUAUUGGGUAUCUGCCUAAGAAACUUGACUGGGCUCGUAAGAGACUAGACAUUUUGUUAAAUAGGACUAAUCAUUCUGCUGUGUUGGAAAGAAAGAAAAUUCUAGGGGAGAUGGAUGAACUUCUUAUCAGGGAAGAAAUAUUGUGGAAGCAGAGAUCUCGUCUGGACAAGAUUAAAGGGGGAUAUCGUAAUACAAAAUAUUUUCAGCGAAAAGCUUCCUGGAGAGCAAAAAAAAUAUUCUAUUUCGGCUCUUAG
This 1134-nucleotide ribosomal RNA is filed under the name Triticum aestivum (bread wheat). Its description in RNAcentral is "partial small subunit ribosomal RNA". The record is from RNAcentral. Lineage: Eukaryota; Viridiplantae; Streptophyta; Magnoliopsida; Poales; Poaceae.